This 425-nucleotide ribosomal RNA is filed under the name Campylobacter gracilis. RNAcentral describes it as "bacterial SSU rRNA". It matches the Rfam family "Bacterial small subunit ribosomal RNA", at positions 29 to 451 of the family's 1533-position model. The record is from RNAcentral. Lineage: Bacteria; Pseudomonadati; Campylobacterota; Epsilonproteobacteria; Campylobacterales; Campylobacteraceae.
AGUGAACGCUGGCGGCGUGCCUAAUACAUGCAAGUCGAACGGAAUUUAAGAGAGCUUGCUCUUUUAAAUUUAGUGGCGCACGGGUGAGUAAUAUAUAGCUAAUCUGCCCCUUGCUGGAGGACAACAGUUAGAAAUGACUGCUAAUACUCCAUACUCCUUUUUACCAUAAGAUAAAUCGGGAAAGAAUUUCGGCAAGGGAUGAGACUAUAUCGUAUCAGCUAGUCGGUGGGGUAACGGCCUACCGAGGCUAUGACGCGUAACUGGUCUGAGAGGAUGAUCAGUCACAUUGGAACUGAGACACGGUCCAAACUCCUACGGGAGGCAGCAGUAGGGAAUAUUGCGCAAUGGGGGAAACCCUGACGCAGCAACGCCGCGUGGAGGAUGACACUUUUCGGAGCGUAAACUCCUUUUGUUAGGGAAGAAUA